RNAcentral lists this ribosomal RNA (324 nucleotides) under uncultured eukaryote. RNAcentral's name for it is "partial 18S ribosomal RNA". It matches the Rfam family "Eukaryotic small subunit ribosomal RNA", at positions 1470 to 1796 of the family's 1831-position model. The record is from RNAcentral.
CCCUUAGAUGUUCUGGGCUGCACGCGCGCGACAAUGACGUUUGCAACGAGAUUGCGAGGCCGUCAGGUCGAGCUGAUCUUGCAAGCUGCGUCGUGAUAGGGACAGUCGAUUGCAAUUAUUCGACUCGAACGAGGAAUUCCUUGUAAUCGCGCAUCAUCAGUGCGCGCUGAAUACGUCCCUGCCCUUUGUACACACCGCCCGUCGCUCCUACCGAUUGAGCAUCCCGGUGAAGACUCAGGAGAUAUGUACGUGGCUGGUCUCCAGCUGCGUUGCGUGCCGAAUUUGUCUAAACCUUGAUGCUUAGAGGAAGGAGAAGUCGUAACA